This 254-nucleotide ribosomal RNA is filed under the name uncultured bacterium. Its description in RNAcentral is "partial 16S ribosomal RNA". It matches the Rfam family "Bacterial small subunit ribosomal RNA", at positions 524 to 776 of the family's 1533-position model. The record is from RNAcentral.
UACGUAGGCAGCAAGCGUUGUUCGGAGUUACUGGGCGUAAAGGGUGCGUAGGCGGCCCUGUAAGUAUGGUGUGAAAUCUCCCGGCUUAACUGGGAGGGUGCGCUAUAGACUGCGGGGCUCGAGUGUGGGAGAGGAAAGUGGAAUUCCUGGUGUAGCGGUGAAAUGCGUAGAUAUCAGGAGGAACACCGGUGGUGUAAACGGCUUUCUGGACCAUAACUGACGCUGGAGGCGCGAAAGCUAGGGGAGCAAACAGG